GGGGAUGACAGGCUUCGACGGAGGAGGCUGAUCCCGAACUGCGAGCCGAGAGGUACCGACCUCGUAAACUCAGUACACAAUUUAAGUGCCAAAAGCACAAACUUAGCUGCUCUUCCGUUAGCUGCGUAAGCGGUUGACAAGAGCACAUGACCUCUAGCAGGUCACGUCUGCCAGCUCCGCUCUCCAACCGGUAGUUGGACAGGCGACACAAAGUUGGAGUGCCGCAUGCGUUUCCGUGCCCUAUGCGAAAGAGAGCUUUCGGGCUCAAACGGAUAGCUCUGGGAGUUGCCUGAAGGUUUGCAACCUCAUGGUUAAAAUAAUUACCUUCUACGCUCGUAGAAGUUCGGUGCUCUAAUCUUUCGGACGCGGGUUCGAGUCCCGCCAUCUCCACCA
This 393-nucleotide transfer-messenger RNA is filed under the name Pelolinea sp. It matches the Rfam family "transfer-messenger RNA". Rfam says of the family: Bacterial tmRNA, also known as 10Sa RNA or SsrA, is named for its dual tRNA and mRNA-like properties. Its role is to liberate the mRNA from a stalled ribosome. The record is from RNAcentral. Lineage: Bacteria; Bacillati; Chloroflexota; Anaerolineae; Anaerolineales; Anaerolineaceae.